GCACAGAAGUAGCAUCAAUAGACGUCUACUACGCCAUUGGCCCCAUCUGGUUAGAAUCACAUCAUCAAAAUUAGAGCUGGAGUAGACCUUCCAGGUCAUCCCCGGAACACCUUGCCAACACAACAAUCAUCUUUUUGAGGACCAGGGACCAAGUGGAAGAAAGAAAAACUUUUGGAAAAAACAAGGAAAAUAAAUCAAUUUGCCUGUGAUCUCCUUGAAGACAAGCACCACAUUUUCUCUAUUGUUGGGUAUCCAGUACUUAGCAACAUGCCUGGCAUUUGAUGGGGAUGGCAAUGAAACUCUAGAGAACUCCAGUCACAAGCUGAUUCUCUCACUGCCUCAGAUUUGGACUAACUCCCAUCGAGGUUAUUGACUCAUUCUCCUUCCCAAAAAACAAAAGCUUCUCUGGCACAUCACUGAGAACAGGUCAGCCUCACUACUUGAUCAUCUCUAAUGAUAGAGCACACAUUGCUUCAAAAGCUUUCUCAACCUACUGUUAGAAUGGCCAGCUUGUCCUCUUUUCCAAGAACAUUUCUGGCUUCACAAGUGAAAGUCCUACAUCUUGGGAACCCCUCAGUUUUGACCAAACUGGGAAGGCUAGUCACCCUAUUAUUGCUGAACGAUGGAAAUUAUUAAUUUCCAACUUAAAUGAAAUGACAUGUGCCUUACUAUAACUUCCAACUAGUUUCUAUUAUUCAACCAAAAUUGGUUUCUUGGUGAUAUUUGAUUGUCUCUGGUUUUCUACAGCUACCAAAGUCUGAGGCAAAAUACUACCAUAAACUAUGAGAUCAAUAGAUCAUAGACCUAAACUUUUCAUCUUUGGGUUAGACAGGGUCUGAUGACA
Long non-coding RNA from Canis lupus familiaris (dog), 844 nucleotides. RefSeq lists it as uncharacterized. The record is from RefSeq and is a predicted model, not a curated record. NCBI's taxonomy places the organism in Eukaryota, Metazoa, Chordata, Mammalia, Carnivora, Canidae. The transcript has 4 exons.